UGGACGCACACAGGAGGGACACAGUAUUGGGAUCAUGCCUAUGUUAAGAAUAAACUAUUUCUUUGUAAUUAUUAAAUAGAGGGUAAUAAAAACUACCAAGCAAUAAACUGGUCUAAAGUGUAUCGCUCACAGAGCCAAUAGCUGAAGCGGGCAUCUAGAACGCUUAGGAGGCGCUCUUCUUCCUGCUAUUCUUCAAUACUGACUACGAAAAUUGAGAGCACAACGAAGCGUCACCAAGAGCGUCGAGAAAAGGGCAUGCGUAUUUAGAAAAAGUUAAAAACCGAUUUCAAACAAAUAAGCCCUUGUCUUGUGUUGUGAUAUUGGCUCUGAUUCUAUUGGCAACGAAAUUUUAGAGUAUUCGCAUCCUCUACUUAUUAAUGUAUUAUGAAAAGGACAGAUACGAUUUGACAGUUUUAAAUUUAAUUUAGAUUUAUUAAAUUCAAACCUUGUGACUUUAGCUGCCAGUCGCGGUAGAGUGUAUCAAAAUUUAGAAUCUUUGAAUGUAAAAUUCAUGUUCCGUCCUUUUUAGCAAUAUUAAAAGGAGGAGGAUGCAGAUACUCCAAAUUUAGUUUGGAGAAAGACAACAGAAUCGGCGCCAAUAUUUAUCUAAUGUAACAUAAUU
Long non-coding RNA from Maniola jurtina (meadow brown), 622 nucleotides. RefSeq lists it as uncharacterized. The record is from RefSeq and is a predicted model, not a curated record. NCBI's taxonomy places the organism in Eukaryota, Metazoa, Arthropoda, Insecta, Lepidoptera, Nymphalidae. The transcript is spliced from 4 exons.